Molecule: long non-coding RNA, 886 nt
Filed under: Gouania willdenowi (blunt-snouted clingfish)
Lineage: Eukaryota; Metazoa; Chordata; Actinopteri; Blenniiformes; Gobiesocidae
Description: lncRNA (ENSGWIG00000022745.1)
Source: RNAcentral
AUGUUUCUUUGCGUUCCUGAAACUUCAUCCAAACAAGAAACAAACCGAGAAGCAAAAAACCAAAAGGACAGUCAACCAAUUUCUCUUCAGAGGAGCAGUGCUGGAAAGCCAGAAAUAAAGCCCCCUGCUCCCCAAACUGCUGUUGGCCCACCUCCAAUCGUCUUGCCAUUGAAUAUUGCUGGCAAUGCAGUGCAUUCAGCAUCACCGACACUGACAACAGUCAGUCCUCGGCCUGUUAUUGUUAAUAAUCAGGGCUUUAUCGUCACCUCUCCACAAAUAGUAAACAACAGGGACUUCAUUGCAUCUUUUGGAACACAGUACCCUCCAGGGACAUAAUUUACAAUUGUUCCAGCUGGACAGCAGCAGAUUUUUCAACAGGUCCCCAUCGUACCGAGUGCAGUCCACAGACCUCAGGUGCAACAAAUCAGCAACAACAUAGUGACGUUGUCAAACGUUCAAAUUCCUACGGUGUACACCGCAACGGCUAAUCAGCUUCAGUUUAGCAAGCCUAAUCACCACACACUCCAGACCUUUUCUGCACCCGUGGUCCACAACAUUAACAAAGAUGAAACCGUAGCCAAACGAGGAUUGACAUCAAAUGAAAGUGACUUUGAAGCGAAGAAACUAAAGCUUAACAUGUUAUCACCCAAAGUUACUGUCAGAUUGGAAAAUGGCUUUGUAUCAACCAAGUGCCCCAACUGUCAGAAAGAACUGCAAUCAGAGGAGGCCCUGAAGUUUCACAUGGCGGUGAGUAAAGUACCUGAUGAGCAAGAGCUCAUACACACUACAGAACUCACUCACACGUGCUGUCCCUUAAAGGAGAAGAAAACACUUUGUGGCACAUAUUGUGCAGCUGUUUGUUAAUAAAUGUGUCUGGCAUUUUGCA